This 800-nucleotide ribosomal RNA is filed under the name Zhihengliuella sp. JSM 2155023. RNAcentral's name for it is "bacterial SSU rRNA". It matches the Rfam family "Bacterial small subunit ribosomal RNA", at positions 31 to 846 of the family's 1533-position model. Lineage: Bacteria; Bacillati; Actinomycetota; Actinomycetes; Micrococcales; Micrococcaceae. The record is from RNAcentral.
GGGGGUGGGCGGGCGCUCACCAUGCAGUCGAACGAUGAUGCCUAGCUUGCUAGGUGGAUUAGUGGCGAACGGGUGAGUAACACGUGAGUAACCUGCCCCUGACUCUGGGAUAAGCCUGAGAAAUUGGGUCUAAUACUGGAUAUGAGCAUCUAUCGCAUGGUGGGUGUUGGAAAGAUUUUUUGGUUAGGGAUGGACUCGCGGCCUAUCAGCUUGUUGGUGAGGUAGUGGCUCACCAAGGCGACGACGGGUAGCCGGCCUGAGAGGGUGACCGGCCACACUGGGACUGAGACACGGCCCAGACUCCUACGGGAGGCAGCAGUGGGGAAUAUUGCACAAUGGGCGAAAGCCUGAUGCAGCGACGCCGCGUGAGGGAUGACGGCCUUCGGGUUGUAAACCUCUUUCAGUAGGGAAGAAGCGAAAGUGACGGUACCUGCAGAAGAAGCGCCGGCUAACUACGUGCCAGCAGCCGCGGUAAUACGUAGGGCGCAAGCGUUAUCCGGAAUUAUUGGGCGUAAAGAGCUCGUAGGCGGUUUGUCGCGUCUGCCGUGAAAGUCCGGGGCUUAACUCCGGAUCUGCGGUGGGUACGGGCAGGCUAGAGUGCAGUAGGGGAGACUGGAAUUCCUGGUGUAGCGGUGAAAUGCGCAGAUAUCAGGAGGAACACCGAUGGCGAAGGCAGGUCUCUGGGCUGUAACUGACGCUGAGGAGCGAAAGCAUGGGUAGCGAACAGGAUUAGAUACCCUGGUAGUCCAUGCCGUAAACGUUGGGCACUAGGUGUGGGGGACAUUCCACGUUUUCCGCGC